ACCCCACUAUGGUGUAUGCCUAAAAUCUAACCUUGUCAUAACUUGUGAGACAAUUUUUCAAGGAAUAAGUAUAAGGCUAUUAAUUAUGCUGGAUCACAAUUAGGCGUGGAGGUAGGAGGUUUUCUGCCACCUAAUUAUGUCUUUCUAUAUUCCAUUGGGAUAGAGCAUAAUUUAAGGUGAUCUAUAAUCAUAUUUUGAUUAAUAUUUCAGUGAAUAUAGGUUGAUUUGGCAGCUUUAUUCAGAGGGACACGCAGUGCACUGUAAUGACUGGUUUUGACCACCAGAUGGCGCCAGCGAUACACGCUUGGCAUUCUAGCAACUGGGUAUUUUCCACAGAGUGACACUAGCAGAUCACAUGUCUCCUGUUCAGCCAAUGAGCUGCAUACUAUCCUUCAAGUCUCCUUCACUGUCUAACAAAGAAUCAGAAGCUCCAUAGUUAUCGACGGCAGAAGUGCUCCUGUGACCUUGUGUAAGCUUCUUUAAAUUUUCUUUGACACUAUUUUUUAUGACAUAUGGUGCCUGAUGAAGGUUUUACCGAAACGUUGCAUCGAUUUGUCAUAGUUUAUACAUGUUUAAUAAAUAGUGCUAUUUUUUGGAAAUUUGGAUUUUUCAUUUUUCCUUUUCAUCUGCCCAUUGACACUUUAACAAACUACCUCCGAUUCUGUUGCCUGCCUUAUAUUUGCAUACAAUGUCCGGGUUGUUGAAAAAGCAAGCCCCUCUUUUUAUGGCUAGCAGCAUUAGCAAAAGCCAUGCGGUGCCACCAUUUUGGCUUACUGCUGCUAGCGCCGGUGAAGAUGGGCGUGGCCUCAACUAUGAGUCACGCUACAGCGAAUUAGCAGGCAACAACAUCCAGAACGGAGAUGGUCUCCAAGACUACCAUUUCGGCCCUAAAAUAAGAGGUAUGCAAAACAUUAUCACAAUGUUGCAUCAUCUUAAAAAUGUUAACCAACAUGAGCAACCACAAACUAUUUCCAAAAUGGCAAAUACAUUGGCCAACAGAAUAAGGCCUGCAUUAAACAAUGCGGACACGCAGGCCUUAAUUGUAAUUAACGCCAGAAAUUGGGCCGGCGCAACUAUGGACAUUUUGAAGAGGCAUUAUUUAAAUGCAUUAAACAUUGAAAAGGACAAGCUGACUCCUAUAAUUGGAUACAAUUGGAGGUCUUCCUUUUUUAUUGCCUCCAACUGGGCCAAAAAGAAGUUUGGCACAAAGAUGACUUUUGACACCCUACAACUGGCGGAGAGCCAUAUAGCCUCGCUGAUGAUGACACCCAAAGGCCACAACGAGCGAGCGGUUCCACCAGGACCGAGCGAUGACGCCGGGACGACGAAGCCUGUCUCUGCAUCCCAGAAACCUCAGGCCAUGGUGGAGAUUGGCGGCGAGUUCCCUCCUCCUGCCUGCUUGGCGCCGGCUGUUCUGAUGACUCCACAAAGUUCCAGCACACACGCAGAAGCUUCCUGCUCCGCUCCUGUGACGCAAGACGACAGACGAAGGCGAGAACGCAGACGGCCCGUGAGUGACCUGAGACCGUGUAACAUCGGACCCCGCGCGCCCCAGGUACAGAGUGCGACUUGUGGUUCACCCCCUCCCACCUGCAGGCGACCUGAGACGGAGAGGAUGAGACGACCGAGUCCUGAGCGCACCGUUCCUCCUGACUACAGCUCGCUCACGCCCAUCGUUGUCCAGCCAGCCACACAUGUCGGUGCGGUGACUUGGAAGUCCCCCACUGACGGGCUGACACGCUGGUUCCGUAAAUGGGCGGGCCCACCACACAUGACCCAUAUAUCGGGGGGAUGUCUAAAUGGGGUGCAAAAUGUCUGACUUUGUGGGUGUUAUCUGGUUGGCCUCCUUUGGGGACUUCCGGUGGGUUCUGCGUCUGGCGGGGCGUCGCCUUGGCGGGGAGUUGAUGGACCGAGCACAAACCCCUCCCCCUCUCUCUCUCUCUCUCUCUCUCUCUCUAUCGCUCUUUCUUUCUUAAUCCCCCAAAAACCUAACCCUAACCCUAACCCUAACCCUAAAUCCUUACCAUAAACCUAACCCUAACCCUAACCCUAAUCCUAACCCUUGUCCGAUUGGGGUCCCCUGGGGGGGUGUGCUCUGGGUGUGGGGUCACUCUGGCGGACUGUAGACGGACAGUGCAUAUUCCCUUUUCCCUCCCCCAACCCUAACCCUAACCCCCCAACACCUAACUAGCCAGUGCCUCCAGUCUGCCGUUGGGGUGGCAUCCUGCCCUUUGUGCGCCCCCCCUUGGGGCUCUGUUGGGCAUUGCUGGGAUGUGGUGAUGGGCUGAUGAUUAUCAGACACAUUUUAAAAUUGGAGUAGAGGUCACUGACACAGAGGAACUGUCUGGAUAUCUUUAUUUAUUUAAAUACUUACCUUGUUUGCUGUGAUUUAUUUAUCUUGUUUGCAGUGCUUACUUUAUUUUGAGUGGUACUUACCUGAUUUGCAGUGCUUUGCUUUAUUUUGAGUAGAGUUUUAUACCCAGCUGGCCUGGAUGAUUAAUUACUUGCUUUGAGUUGUGUGCAGUGAUUUCUUUUUUCAAACACCAGACAUUCCUUUGCAAUCAGUGGAGCGAACUGAAUGACCGCAGGUGUGAGCCUUAGCCCCGCCCACUGCGGCGCUCUUAUAAAAUCCUCCUCCUUCCAUAGCUCCAUUUGACAAAAGGCUCCGGCUAAUGAGGAAGGCAUUAUGCUGGAGACCGCAAAUGUUGUAGCUUUUACAUGCCUGAAGAGGCCAAAUAGGCCGAAACGCGUCGCAUGUUCAAAUUGGUUGAUGUGUCUGACACCACUCUCGGCGUUGUCCGAUUGGGGUCCCCUGGGGGGGUGUGCUCUGGGUGUGGGGUCACUCUGGCGGACUGUAGACGGACAGUGCAUAUUCCCUUUUCCCUCCCCCAACCCUAACCCUAACCCCCCAACACCUAACCCUAACCCUAACCCUAAAUCCUUACCAUAAACCUAACCCUAACCCUAACCCCUAACCCUAACCCUAACCCUAACCCAUCCUGCUGUAGAGAAAUAGGGAAGAUGAAUUAGCCUCAGGAGACUAGUAGUGCUCCACCUACUGGGAAUUAGAAGCGUCCCAGUAGGCAUGAGGUAACAGAAAGCCAACCUGAUGAGGCCUAGGGGGCCGAAACGCGUAGUUGGACAGCCACAAUGGUUUCUGCGCCUGUGUUUGCCACCGCAUUCUCAUUCGGGGUCUCCGGGGGGUCCUGCGUUUGGCGUGGGCGUCGCCUGACGGGUUGUAGACGGACAGUGCACACCCUUUGCCCCUUACCCUAACCCUAACCACAAACCUAACCCUAACCCUAACCCUAACCUAACCCUAACCCUAACCCUAAAAUAAGAGGUAUGCAAAACAUUAUCACAAUGUUGCAUCAUCUUAAAAAUGUUAACCAACAUGAGCAACCACAAACUAUUUCCAAAAUGGCAAAUACAUUGGCCAACAGAAUAAGGCCUGCAUUAAACAAUGCGGACACGCAGGCCUUAAUUGUAAUUAACGCCAGAAAUUGGGCCGGCACAACUAUGGACAUUUUGAAGAGGCAUUAUUUAAACGCAUUAAACAUUGAAAAGGACAAGCUGACUCCUAUAAUUGGAUACAAUUGGAGGUCUUCCUUUUUUAUUGCCUCCAACUGGGCCAAAAAGAAGUUUGGCACAAAGAUGACUUUUGACACCCUACAACUGGCGGAGAGCCAUAUAGCCUCGCUGAUGAUGACACCCAAAGGCCACAACGAGCGAGCGGUUCCACCAGGACCGAGCGAUGACGCCGGGACGACGAAGCCUGUCUCUGCAUCCCAGAAACCUCAGGCCAUGGUGGAGAUUGGCGGCGAGUUCCCUCCUCCUGCCUGUUUGGCGCCGGCUGUUCUGAUGACUCCACAAAGUUCCAGCACACACGCAGAAGCUUCCUGCUCCGCUCCUGUGACGCAAGACGACAGACGAAGGCGAGAACGCAGACGGCCCGUGAGUGACCUGAGACCGUGGAACAUCGGACCCCGCGCGCCCCAGGUACAGAGUGCGACUUGUGGUUCACCCCCUCCCACCUGCAGGCGACCUGAGACGGAGAGGACGAGACGACUGAGCGCUGAACGCAUCGUGCCUCCUGACCACAGCUCGCGCACACCCGUCGGUGUCCAGCCAGCCACAGAGGGACUUCCGGGGGGUUCUGCGUCUGGCGGAGCCCAACUUGGCGGAGGGUUGAUUGGACCGUGCACAUCCCCUUCCCAAUUUUUCUCUCUCUCUCUCUCUCUCUCUCUCUCUCUCUCUCUCUCUCUCUCUCUCUCUAUCUCACCCCCAAAAACCUAACCCUAACCCUAACCCUAGCCCCGCCCCCUGCGGCGCUCUAACAAAAUCCUCCUCCGCCCAUAGCUCCAUUUGACAAAAGGCUCCAGCUAAUGAGGAAGGCAUUAUGCUGGAGACCGCAAAUGUGGUAGCUUUUACAUGCCUGAAGAGGCCAAAUAGGCCGAAACGCGUCGCAUGUUCACAAAAUGAAUGGUUGAUGUGUCUGACACCACUCUCAACGUUGUUCGAUUGGGGCUCCUGGGGGGGGUGUGCCCUUGGUGGGGUGUCACUCUGGCAGACUGUUGAUGGACAGUGCAUAUUCCUAGUCCCUUCCCCCAAACCCUAACCCUAACCCUAAUCCUAACCCCAACACCUAACUAGCCAGUGCCUCCAGUCUGCCGUUGGAGUGGCGCCCUGCCUUUCGUGCGCCCCCCCUGGGGCUCUGUUGGGCAUUGCUGGGAUGUGGUGAUGGGCUGAUGAUUAUCAGACACAUUUUAAAAUUGGAGUAGAGGUCACUGACACAGAGGAAUUGUCUGGAUGUCUUUUAUUUAUUUAUGUAAAUACUUACCUUGUUUGCUGUGAUUUACUUAUCUUGUUUGCAGUGCUUACUUUAUUUUGAGUGGUACUUACCUGAUUUGCAGUGCUUUGCUUUAUUUUGAGUAGAGUUUUAUACCCAGCUGGCCUGGAUGAUUAAUUACUUGCUUUGAGUUGUGUGCAGUGAUUCCUUUUUUCAAACACCAGACAUUCCUUUGCAAUCAGUGGAGCGAACUGAAUGACCGCAGGUGUGAGCCUUAGCCCCGCCCCCUGCGGCACUCUAACAAAAUCCUCCUCCGCCCAUAGCUCCAUUUGACAAAAGGCUCCAGCUAAUGAGGAAGGCAUUAUGCUGGAGACCGCAAAUGUGGUAGCUUUUACAUGCCUGAAGAGGCCAAAUAGGCCGAAACGCGUCGCAUGUUUACAAAAUGAAUGGUUGAUGUGUCUGACACCACUCUCGGCGUUGUUCGAUUGGGGCUCCUGGGGGGGGUGUGCCCUUGGUGGGGUGUCACUCUGGCAGACUGUUGAUGGACAGUGCAUAUUCCUAACCCCCUCCCCCAAACCCUAACCCUAACCCUAACCCCAACACCUAACCCUAACCCUAACCCCUAACCCCUAACCCUAACCCACUAAGUAUUAUAAGGGUCAGAGGUCACAGACAUGGAGAAUCGUAUCUUGAUUUUGUUUGAAGUUAUUUAUACUUCUUUAUUUGUGUGUGCUGUGAUUUACUUACUUACCUGUGUGCAGUGCUUUUGGAGUCCAGCUGCCCUGGAUCACUUUUAUCUAUACUUACCUUUGGAGUGAUUAUUGUUUGGUGUUAUUUUGCACCAAAUACUUUUCCAUGUCUGUGGAGUGUGAUCAUUGCAGCUGUGAGCAAUCGCCACCUGCAAACACUCGGAGCGAUUCAUUGCAGCUGAGGGCAUAAGCCACGCCCCUUGCUAGCUCUUUUAAAACCUCUUCUUGCAUUCGCGGCUCAUUUUACCUCCAGCAGUUGAGGGGACAACUGACCUAGGAGAAGUAAUGAAGCCAAAGUUUUUAAAGUUUCACACCUGAUGAGGCCAGACAGGCCGAAACGUACGUAGUGUGAUUUUUAGAACUUGACUGUGUUGACGCCACACUCGGCGGUUGUCGUUCGGGGUCCUCGGGGGGUGUGCGUCUGGUGGGGGCGUCACUCUGGCGGAUUGUUGAUUGGACUGUGCCAUCCUAUUUCCCGUCCAAUUUCCCUAAUCCUAACCAAUAACCCUCUACACCUAACCCUAACCCUAACCCGGUGUCAACGAUGUGGCGAGAUGUACGUGGGCGAGACGGGCAAUACCAUAGCUAGGAGAUUCGCCCAACACAAGUACAACAUCGUUAAACACAAAAAUACCGACACUCACCUGGUCCAGCAUUUUGUCCGACACGGUUGGUCUUCCGUCCGAGCGACGGUCGUCGAGACGAACCCCAGAUGGAGCCUCGCCCAACGUUACAGGGCGGAGCUCCUCUGGAUCGUAAAGCUGGGCACCAGAUUUCCGGGGGGCCUAAACGAGAUGUGAGUGUUAGCCGAUUGGACUGUUGAAGGACAGUGCACAUUCCCUCUUUAUUUCCCCUCUUUAUUUUCCUUAUAUCCCCCGCCCCUCCUCUUCCCUAACCCUAACCAUUUCUUUUCUCUGGCCCUAACCCAAACCUAACCCCAACCCUAAUCCUAACCCUAACCUCUAACCCUAACCCCAAACCUAACCCUUGUUUUCAUACUCUUCAACCAGGGGAAGUAUUUUGUGAUAACUUUGUUCUCCACAACUCAAAUUCCCAGAGAUGAUGGUGGUCAAGGUACCAGCCAGGACCUGGGAAAAGCAAAAAGAAAGAAGUACACUUGAGUUCCCAGAGAGCGUAAGAAAGACGAUAGUAGUGAAGGGACCAGCCAGGACCCGGACGAUGAGAUGCCGGCGGCCAAAAAAGGCAAAAAAUAAGAAGCGCAAAUAAGACCGGUACCAUGGGCUCAGUGCUGCAGAGAGGUGUGGUACCACGUGGCACCAUGUGGUACCAUGGGUUGAGUGCUGCUGCUGUCCCACAUUGUAGUUAAUAAAAAUGAUUGACAAAU
Entelurus aequoreus (snake pipefish) is the source of this 6883-nucleotide RNA transcript. RefSeq lists it as uncharacterized. Lineage: Eukaryota; Metazoa; Chordata; Actinopteri; Syngnathiformes; Syngnathidae. The record is from RefSeq and is a predicted model, not a curated record. The transcript is spliced from 3 exons.